UACAUUGUCGGAAACGUAUGCGUUCCAUUUGCUCUGUCACCACCAGAGAUCAUAGAAUGGUAGAAUCGUUAAGGUUGCAAAAGACCUCUAAGAUCAUUGAGUUCAACCACCAACCCAUCCCAACCAUGCCCACUAAACCCUGUCCCUAAGUGCCUCCUCUACCCUUUUCCUGAUCGCCUCCAGAGACAGUGAGUGACUCCACCACCCCCCAGGCAGCCUGUUCCAAUGUGUUCCCGCUCUUUCUAGGAAGAAAUUUUUCCUAACAUCCAACUUGAACGUCCACUGGCACAACUUAAGGCCAUUACCUCUUGCCCUAAUGCUCAGUAAUAUUUGAGAACUGUUUGGAGCAAGGUGCCACCUCUGUAAAGCAACAUGCACACAGAAGGACUCUACUUUAACUAUAGCCUCAAUAUGCUGGUCCCACGGUUGGUAACAUUUAAUUGACUUUACAGAGAAAGGAACUGAGGCAGAAAGAAGUUAUACAGCUUGCUCGGACCCACACUGUAAAUCCAUGGUCAAAUCAGAGUGAGCAACCCCUGCAUUUUGUCAUCUGGACACAUUCCUGUGGCCUUGAUGAGAUGGGGCUUCACUGCUAUUGCCCUAAACUGAACAGCAAUGUUUCUUGGAUUCCUGCAGUAAGUAUCCUGAUCCGGGGAGCAGCCACACAAGACCUAAGUUUUAUUUUUAGAUACUCAGAACCUAGAAACUCCAGCAAAAUGUGUGAAGAGGGAGAAGUGGGUAAUCCAGCCACCAAGUUAAUGGAUGUGGUAGGAAGAGGAGCCAACUGGCCACAGUGUGUUGUCAAGCAACGCUGCGUAGCAAAUAGCUUAGUGCUGAGUCCUGGGGUGUUAAUUGCCAGUGGAUAAUUCAUCACUUCAUAUACGUGCCCUUCUCCACAUGGGAAUUAACUCCUCGGUGUUGUACCUCUGAUAAAAGCAGAGCAGCAGGGAAGAGUGACUGAAAGCCCUGUUGCCAAGGAGAUCUACCUGCGUGGGUCGGAGUUGAGGUGGCAGUAAUUGCUCCUCCGUUCCUUAGCUGGUGGGAGCUGGGGGACCCGAGACUGCCUCCCUGAGAAUGGAGAGAUGGGGUCUGCAGAAAGGCAGAGCAAAGCAAGGGCAACCACCAGUCCUUUGGUUUAGACACAAGGCCCAGAGAUGCGCUGGAGCUCCAGAGCCAGAAAAGCACAGUGGGUUCUGCCACAGUGGAUGUGUCCAUAGAUGAGAGGCAUGCAAGAGCUGAACAGCACACAGCUGGUGAGAGCAGGGUUCAGACUCCAAAGUCAGGGGAUAAGGGACGUGCCCUGAGUCAUUCCCUUGACCGUUAGCAAAGAGGAAGCCAAAACCUGAGGCUGAUGCCCAUUCUCUCCCAUGGGUGGACACAGUGGGAUCUGUGGGUCCUGCCAAGAAGUGGGAGAUGGUCCCUGACCAAGCGGCUUGCCUUGUUUGGGGCACAGCUGCGCUUAGCUGGACUGUAAAGCCAUUGUGCUGCCCUGUUCUGCUAUAGGGGGCUCAGCUGGGACUAACAGCUAAGAGCCCAUCUGUGUUCUCUUAAUGAAUCCUGUUGAGGUGGGUCUAUUCAAUUUGUGCUCCAUUAAUUAAGAACAUCUGCAGGCUCAGGGGAGUCAGCAUGUCCUCCAGGUUUGCAUUAAACAGCCGGUAGGAAGGCCUAUGCUUUAAUUUACCUCCAUCCUACUCAGCUUCUGUUCAAGUGAGGUUCUGCAGCUAAUGAGGUCUGAGACUUUCAAGCCCCAGGGAGAGGAAAUGACUAGGACUGUGCUUUUGCACAUGGGCAUCCCCAGCCUGUGUGGGAAGGAGAGCACAAACAACCUGGAAUGAGCAGGGGCCCAGCUGGGCACAAGGGGAAAAAGGCCAGAGGAAGGACUGUGCUGGGAUAAUGUGGCUGAAAGCACGAUCCCAGCCCUGAUGACCUCAGAGAUAAGAUUUGAACAAGCCCAGCAAGAACCAAGGUGGAGAGAUUUGCCACGAGCAACACAGAAUGACAUCUGACAGCCUCAAGGAUGGCUACAGCACAGGAAUGGUCAGACCACAGAACUGGGCUGGAUAAUCUGAAGCUGGAAAUCUCUCUCGCUGUCCCCUUUGGGUUCAUGGAGCAACAUCAGCAGCCACAGAAGUAUUCUCUGGUCUCACUCAUGUUGGCAGUUGUGCUGAGAUGACUUCAGAAACACAGAAUUAACGUGACCAUUUUAGGCAUAUACUGUUCAGUACUAAUGGCCAAUGGCUUCGUUCUUACCUUGUGAUAAACACAGGGAAAAGAAGUUUUCUUUAACUCUUCCUUUAUAGACUGUGUAAACAGCUACCUCUUAUACAACAGCUUGCCAAGUUACGCUAACCAAAUCAUGUGUCUUCCAGAUAGAUGAACAAACAUUUCCCAUUUCAAUGAAAAGGAAGUGAAAAUCAAAAUCUUGCUAGCUGCUCUGAAAGCCUAAGCAUUCCUAUUGAAACGUGAUCCCACAGCUAGUGAGGAUGAAGUAGAAAACAUCAUUGUGUGUGCUUCACAAUUCCCCUUUAUAAGGAAAAAUGAACAGUUUCUUAUGCCUUGAGACACGGAAGAAAAGCACUUAGCAGUUCUUUGAAGCCUUCCACAUAUUACUGGUCCGCAACUCAACCCCAGCAAUGCCAGUGGAGUCCCAGAAGGGACAGAACCAGCCAUCCCUGCUGCUGGAAUAGCUUCUGCCUCGCUGGCAUCAACCCUCAAGCCAAGGAGGCUGCCCACUGCCACUGAGCAACUCUGCAGACCAAGCAAUGCACUGCUGCUUCCUCAGGAGGCAAACAGAGAUGGCAUUCUCCCACUGUAACAGCAGAGGUCUUGGGAAUCACAGGAAAUACUCAGCUUAGACCUUCAGAACAAGGCUGAAUCCUGCAUGACUAAUGUAUCCGGGGAAGAGCUGAGAGCUGCUGGGAACCUCUGAAGGCAGUGGGAUAUGCGAUGCCUUGCAGAACAGGCACUGAACUGCUUGCUGUCCUGUCUCCCUGCCCUAUUUCUAGCAUGAUUCAGAGGCUGGAAAUACAGUCUGACUUUGCUUUGGAAGCUCUCAAUUGAUCAAACCUGGUAGUUACUUUGGUGCUGAAGCUGUGCAUUACUUUGUUAUUCCCAGGAAAUAUCUUUGCUCUGGGUAUAACCCUGUGUUUCCAGGGACAUUCAAAGCAAUACAUCGUCCCUCCUUUAAGCCCUGAGCAGGAAUAUACAGUAAUCUCAGUUUGUACUGGUGAGGUUAAUUAAUGAACUGGAGAUUUGUGCUGCCCUGCCCUAAACAAAGAACCCAAAUGAGAUGCUUAGCAUACUAGUUAAUGGUUUUUUUAAGUAAGAAAGAAAGUUCAGCAAUGGCCAAGCAGGCUAAUGUAAUAGCAAGCUCAAACAUUAAUCCUAGCCACACGCAAGAGCUCUUUUAGGUGUUUGGGUGGCAAUGACCUGCCCUUUGAACAAACAACGUGGUCACAAGGUCAUUCCCAGGGAUGCUGAGCACGGGGUGGGUAUGGUUGAAAGCUGGCUUCGUCACUUGCUACCUGGGAAAGUCCUUCCUGAGGAGGGAUAUUGUACAGACAACAGCAAGGCCUCUACCUGGAAUCUUAAAAAAAAAAAACAAAAACAAAAACCCAAAAAAACAGUGCAGAGGAGCUUGUAUGUUGUGAACGGGACUGAUGCUCCAAAGUGUGUGACUGGAUUUACAGGCCAUUAGAUACUAAAAGUCACAGUAGGAAAGCUGGCACGUCGGCAAAGCCAUUAAACCCUGCAGUUUAUUGAGCAGAUGGCUGAGAAGCCCGAGGGGCUGAUGCAGGAAAUACCUAUUUAGCAGAGCUGUGAGAGCUAGGCAUAAACCAGAGUGGGAGACCACUGGCUUUUCUAGGAAAUAUCUUUUCCUCCUCCCUCCGCGUGUUCCUUUUAGCUAAGAUGGGUUGCCUGAAGGCGCGUUCUGCUUAACAUGCCAACACAUUUUUUGCUCGUUUACUAUUUUAAGACUAUCGGUGAUUUCCUAGAUUACUUGUCUCACGUUGGGAAAUCCUGGCCGUCAGUGGGCUAGCUCCCAAAGCGAAGGAUGUCAGAUGAGGAAAGAGCCUAUGCAGAGCCAACGGGAACAAAGAGAGGGGCCCGCAUGGAAAGCAGUGGCUGGCAGAGCCCGUCCCUGCUCCCUCUCUCCCUGCCUGAGAUUUGAGACUCUGGCGCUAGCUCUUUAGUUGCAGGCACACACAGCCGCAUUGCUUCCCUCCUAGCGGUUCGGUGGGAGACUGUAAACUGAGAAGUGCCCCUCUGAUGUCAGAGGCAUGCCCUAGAUUGCAAAGGGAGUGUGAAAAAUGCCCAUCGGAGGAGCUGUCAGGAAAAAGAAGGUAUGGGGAGUUCCUACAGAGCUCUGUGUUUCCAGCAGAAAAAUCUCAGAGGUCUCUUCAAUGGCCGGGCUGAAGAACACCGAUGCAGAGUUUAAGGCAGCAAGAUGAUUUAGCUGCCAGUGUUCUGCUCGAAUAUAAAUCCCCACCCCGGACUUGAACUCUGAGCGGUAGGUUAGGAAAGGGCUCCGGGGGGCUCAGGCUGUCUGCGAGAGCCUUUCAUUCUGCAAAUGUAAUUGCUUCCAAUCCAAGUCGUGUCCCCCCAGCUACACGGCCACGAGAAACCUCGGAGGAAACUCUCAAAUAUUUCACCGAUAAAUUCCCUUGGUAAUGAAGGUGGUUAGAUUUCUAUGUGCCCUCUAUUCGAAGGGGGAAAAAAGCGUUUCUUUCUUUUGUAUCAGAAGGUGGUUUGGUUCUUGUGCAAUAUGAUUUUGUUUGAAGGGGAUGUUCAUGCUACUGGCUAUCUAUCUGGAAUGAAGGAAAUGAGAGACCUCGGUCUCUUUCUCCUGAAAAUUCAUUCUGAAAGGUACAUUAUUUCCAAAAUGAUUCAGUUCCUUCAAGGCAACAUAUAAUGACUUUGUAAUGGUGCAGUGAUUGUGGCCUAUCUCCUCAUGGAAAGAAAUGGUAGCUAGGUCAGGGAGAGACAAAAAUUAAAAGGCAUUCAAGGCAUGAAAUUGGAAAAAUACUUUCAAGCUGCUUCAGAUGCAGUAAAUGGCUCUCUGCCUUUUGUUUACGGCCAAGGCUUUCUGCACUCCUACCCUAAACCUCCCGAGCAGCAGGAAGGGUGAGGUUUCACUUCAUUACCCUGGGAAAUGUCUUUGGCUUGGACCUCCCUCCAAAAAAGCCCUCUCUGAUUCUGUGGGCCGAGCCUGUUGCUGUGCCUAAAGAGGCUCCAGGGAAGCAACGUUUGCUGCCACUGCUUCCUUUUCACUGCGCUGCUGUGAAAAGGAAUGGGCUGAUCUCAUCCCCUAUGGCGUUGGCGGCUGAGGAUUUAUAUCCCCUUCACACCGACGUGGUCCUCACAAAAGGGGCUGUGCUCAUCUUGGCGUUGCAUCUCCACAUAUCUCACUGCUAUCUUUUGAGCGUUGAUAAAUGGAUAGCAUUGCUUCUUGUACUCUUGUGGAAUGCAUUACGUGGUGAGAAGAAGUACGACUUGCAGCAACAAUCUCGCUCCAGAGACUCACUAACUAGAGAGCAGCUUCCCUGAGCUCCCACACGGGUGCAUCUGUGCAUGCAGAUAUUACAGCUUUCCAGUGAAGGUGGCAUUUCUGAUCCUUGCUCCUAUUUAUCUCAGUGGCCAAGCCCAAUAACUCCAGCAAGAACAAGGUCGGUCCUCUGGGAUAUUCCAGAGGUGAAGCAAACAGAAGUGCAAACUUAUGUUAGUUAUAACUGCCAAACUUUCAUAAAUUCCUUCCUGACAAAACUGAUAUGCCACGAGGAUCCCUUGAUCACUACACCUAGAUGAACAGACUGCUUGAUUGAUAGCACCCCAGCAGGAAUGUUAUGGCAUUGGAAAAAAAAAAUGGGUUAUCCUUUUCAAUUACUGUUGCUGUUUCACAAGAUUUUUAAUUCUAGUUUUUAUUCUGCAUUUAAAACUCUCUGGGAUAGAGCAAUGGGGAGAAAUUGCAUUGUUUUUACUGCUAAACAUCACUGCUUUCUUGGGAAUAGCUGGGGAGCACUGCAGCUAAAUCUGUUUGAAUUCUCCCUUAUUUUU
Numida meleagris (helmeted guineafowl) is the source of this 6054-nucleotide long non-coding RNA. RefSeq lists it as uncharacterized. NCBI's taxonomy places the organism in Eukaryota, Metazoa, Chordata, Aves, Galliformes, Numididae. The record is from RefSeq and is a predicted model, not a curated record. The transcript has 5 exons.